Molecule: unclassified non-coding RNA, 820 nt
Filed under: Hevea brasiliensis (rubber tree)
Lineage: Eukaryota; Viridiplantae; Streptophyta; Magnoliopsida; Malpighiales; Euphorbiaceae
Source: RNAcentral
CCUUAACUAGGAAAGACUGUGAGAAUGAAAUAUAAGAGGGUAGGUACAGCAAAACCCACUGCUCCAACAAACAGAAAGCAAUGGUCCCUGUUUGAACUUGUCAUGAAAUGAAAAUGAAAUUGGCUUCGGAUUCUCUCCAGGCCCUCUUAUAAACCCAAUCAAUGAUGCAGAUAUCAGAGGAGUCCUUCUAGCAUCAUAUAUGGCAAUGAGACCCCUGUAGACAUCAUCCCCUCCCUUAUAAGAUACUGCUAAUCUUUCUCCCGAAGCAUCCCAAGCUAUCUUCUCAAUUCCAUGACUUCCAGUCAAGGACAUUAUCUCCGGCAAAUCAACUGGUAAUAAGUGCGCAUCUAAAGAUGGAGGCUUUGAUGCAAAGUGAAUAGAUCCCAAUGUUGCAGAACCAGAGAAAGCAAUCAGUAUCAUACGCCCAUCUGGAUCCCAUGUUGCUCCCGUUACAAACCCACUAGUUGAAGACCAGGUUUCAGAUGUCCAUGUGUUUGUCUCCCAAAGAUAAAAUGUUCCAUCUAAUUUUGCAGCAAAAAAGUAAUCACCAGUAGGUGACCAUUUGAGCAUUGAUAUACAUCCUAAACCCCGUCGAAUUGGUGUUCCCAAUCCUUGUGCAACAUCCCAUAUGGUGAAUGACGAACUUUCAUAUGAAGCAGAUGCCAAGUAUCUUCCAUCAGGACUCCAAGAAAGUGCACUUAUUUGUUCAUCCUUAUGACUUCGAAGAAAAUCCACGAGAGUCCAUCGAGUUCCAGCACCUCUAGAAAGAGUACCCAAGUAUGAAGCAGCACCAGAUCUCACAGAUGCAACAUUUCCAGGA